This 769-nucleotide ribosomal RNA is filed under the name uncultured cyanobacterium. RNAcentral's name for it is "bacterial SSU rRNA". It matches the Rfam family "Bacterial small subunit ribosomal RNA", at positions 34 to 845 of the family's 1533-position model. Lineage: Bacteria; Bacillati; Cyanobacteriota. The record is from RNAcentral.
CGCUGGCGGUCUGCUUACACAUGCAAGUCGAACGGAAUCCUUAGGGAUUUAGUGGCGGACGGGUGAGUAACACGUAAGAACCUGCCUCUAGGACGGGGACAACAGUUGGAAACGACUGCUAAACCCGGAUGAGCCGAAAGGUAAAAGAUUAAUCGCCUAGAGAGGGGCUUGCGUCUGAUUAGCUAGUUGGUGAGGUAAGAGCCCACCAAGGCGACGAUCAGUAGCUGGUCUGAGAGGAUGAUCAGCCACACUGGGACUGAGACACGGCCCAGACUCCUACGGGAGGCAGCAGUGGGGAAUUUUCCGCAAUGGGCGAAAGCCUGACGGAGCAAGACCGCGUGGGGGAGGAAGGUUCUUGGAUUGUCAACCCCUUUUCUCAGGGAAGAACACAAUGACGGUACCUGAGGAAAAAGCAUCGGCUAACUCCGUGCCAGCAGCCGCGGUAAUACGGGGGAUGCAAGCGUUAUCCGGAAUGAUUGGGCGUAAAGAGUCCGUAGGUAGUCAUCCAAGUCUGCUGUUAAAGAGCGAGGCUUAACCUCGUAAAGGCAGUGGAAACUGGAAGACUAGAGUGUAGUAGGGGCAGAGGGAAUUCCUGGUGUAGCGGUGAAAUGCGUAGAGAUCAGGAAGAACACCGGUGGCGAAGGCGCUCUGCUGGGCUAUAACUGACACUGAGGGACGAAAGCUAGGGGAGCGAAUGGGAUUAGAUACCCCAGUAGUCCUAGCGGUAAACGAUGGAAACUAGGUGUGGCCUGUAUCGACCCGGGCCGUG